Molecule: long non-coding RNA, 382 nt
Organism: Lethenteron reissneri (Far Eastern brook lamprey)
Lineage: Eukaryota; Metazoa; Chordata; Hyperoartia; Petromyzontiformes; Petromyzontidae
Source: RefSeq, a predicted model, not a curated record
GUCCGGUGUUGGGUUCAUUGUUGUUGAGGUGAUGGUGGCCGUGCGUGAUGUUGUGACGCGCCACUGUGGGUGGGGAGACGGCUCGCCGAGAAGACGGAGCCAUCUCCAUAGCGACUCUGGACACCUCGUCUCGGGAGGUGUCGUCUCUCGUUCGCUCGCAGCUCCCUCCGCCCUCGUUACCGCGACUCCGCACAACGACAACAACGACGACUACGCCGGGCGCGGACGCGCGCGUCCCUCUUCGUUGCGCGCCACGGGACACGCAAACCGCGGGUUGACUGUACGACCGGCGUCCGUGGACGGCGAUCGCGCUCGGCGCUGCGUACGAUUCUGGAGCAGUCGGCGCCGAAGAGCUCGUCAAACGUCUCGGGCGACAUCUCCC